UGGUGUGAUGGCGUGGAUCGAUCAGAGCAAAGGGGGGAGAAGACAAACCCUAACUUCAUGAAAUUCUCAAGAAUUGAAAGAGAUUAGGAGCCCAAACUAAUGCAUGAACUCGAAACUUCAAUCAUCUAAGCUUGUACAACAAGCGGAACGUGUCAAGGAGAGGUCAAGCAUAGGAGGAUAACGGGUCAAGAUAAGGCAAGAUGACAAAUACACUUAUUGGAGUACUCGAGGUAUGGGGUCGUUGGCUUCAUGAAGAAAUGGAGCUGGAUUUGGAUAAGAGUAUUUAAGAAAGCGCUUGGACAAUUCCACGACUACUUUAUAGAAUGCUCUACGAAAUUUUAUUAUAUAGUUUAAUGUUGAAUGGUAUGUUAAUAACUAAUGGUUUGGUUGUACGUGGUGUCCACAGGUAUCGCUUGGGUUUUCUCUACUUUUAUUGAAGUGAAGCGGACUUAGUUCGAGUUGAGAGCAAGGAUUGUACGGGGUAGAAUGGUCACAUAGUGUAACUCAUAUAGGUUUUGAAGUAUUAAUGUUAUAAAACGUUAUAAAUCCGUUUUAAUGAAUAUAUGGCAUUUCGCAUUUGAACUUUCAUGUGUUUGAUAUGUCUAUUAAAGAACGAAAUUUUUGGGCUCUUGUUUUCCGCUGCGUCGUAUUUUAAGUUAUUACGCGUUAGUCUUACAGGGAAUUGUUCUUAUUACGAACGGGUCAUGCCCGAAUUUUGUUAAAUAAUAGUAUGAUAAUAUUACAUUUUGGAAUGUGUAAUUUGGGCGUAACAAGUUGGUAUCAGAGCCCUGGUUUGAGAGAAUUAAGUACGAGAGUAUAAGUACUUGAACUCAAACCUGUGUGCUCUUGUGAUAAGGAACCCGUACAAUCCAUGACUCGAUCAAGAUCUAAAGGUAGAAAUGGAACGAAAAUGUGUAAGUAUGUAUUAGAUUAUGUAUUUGAAAGAAACUAAUAGUGUGUUAUGUGCAAGGUAAGCUUAAGAUCUUGAAGAGGAUGAUCCGUGAAUACAGAAUGGGAUGAACGCUAAGGCGGGCAAAGGUGCAAAUAGGCAAAUUAAC
This 1058-nucleotide long non-coding RNA is filed under the name Helianthus annuus (common sunflower). RNAcentral's name for it is "hypothetical non coding rna". Lineage: Eukaryota; Viridiplantae; Streptophyta; Magnoliopsida; Asterales; Asteraceae. The record is from RNAcentral.